RNAcentral lists this ribosomal RNA (552 nucleotides) under uncultured bacterium. RNAcentral describes it as "bacterial SSU rRNA". It matches the Rfam family "Bacterial small subunit ribosomal RNA", at positions 102 to 649 of the family's 1533-position model. The record is from RNAcentral.
ACGGGUGAGUAACGCGUAGGGAUCUGUCCUGUAGAGGGGGAUAACCCGGGGAAACCCGGGCUAAUACCGCAUACGUUCUGAGGAAGAAAGGUCGGGACCGCAAGGCCGAUCGCUACAGGGUGAACCUGCGUCGGAUUAGCUAGUUGGCGGGGUAAGGGCCCACCAAGGCGAUGAUCCGUAGCUGGUCUGAGAGGACGGACAGCCACACUGGGACUGAGACACGGCCCAGACUCCUACGGGAGGCAGCAGUGGGGAAUAUUGGACAAUGGGCGCAAGCCUGAUCCAGCGAUGCCGCGUGUGUGAAGAAGGCCUGCGGGUUGUAAAGCACUUUUGGCGAAGACGAGGCUGACACGCCCGAAUAAGGUGUGUGAGUGACGGUAUUCGCAGAAAAAGCACCGGCUAACUCUGUGCCAGCAGCUGCGGUAAUACAGAGGGUGCAAGCGUUAAUCGGAAUGACUGGGCGUAAAGAGCGCGUAGGUGGUUAGAUAAGUCAGAUGUGAAAGACCUGGGCUUAACCUGGGGGUGUCAUUUGAUACUGUUUGACUAGAGUAC